GCAAGUCGAGCGAAGCAAUUGUUGCUUGCACUGAUUGACUUAGCGGCGAACGGGUGAGUAACACGUGAGUAACCUGCCUUUCAGACCGGGAUAACAGUGGGAAACUGCUGCUAAUACGGGAUACGAUCUAUUGAUUUCAUGGUUGAUAGAUUAAAAGCUUUUGUGCUGAAAGAUGGACUCGCGUUCUAUUAGCUAGCUGGUAGGGUAAUGGCCUACCAGGGCGACGAUAGAUAGCCGGCCUGAGAGGGUGAAC
This 253-nucleotide ribosomal RNA is filed under the name uncultured bacterium. RNAcentral describes it as "partial 16S ribosomal RNA". It matches the Rfam family "Bacterial small subunit ribosomal RNA", at positions 57 to 305 of the family's 1533-position model. The record is from RNAcentral.